UACAGAGGUCCCAAGCGUUGUUCGGAUUCACUGGGCGUAAAGGGCGCGUAGGUGGCGGGGUAAGUCUGAUGUGAAAUCUCCGAGCUUAACUCGGAAACUGCAUCGGAUACUGCCUUGCUCGAGGGUUGGAGGGGGGACUGGAAUACUUGGUGUAGCAGUGAAAUGCGUAGAUAUCAAGUGGAACACCAGUGGCGAAGGCGAGUCCCUGGACAACUCCUGACACUGAGGCACGGAAGCUAGGGGAGCAAACAGG
Molecule: ribosomal RNA, 253 nt
Filed under: uncultured bacterium
Lineage: Bacteria
Description: partial 16S ribosomal RNA
Rfam family: Bacterial small subunit ribosomal RNA
Source: RNAcentral